ACACUUAAAAGUAGAGAGAGGAAAAUUACAGCUUUGGACCUUUACAUAUACCUUUCUUACUUCAUCGAUAGCAGCUUUUCUUUAAAAGUUAUGAGAGCAAAAUAUUUUGAAUAAAAUCUGUUUCUUCUCCUAUGAACAGAGAUGACAUCCUGAAACAUUUAUCUCCUGCCUUCUGGAAGCAAUGCAAAGAAAUUCUUUUGAAUAUUUUUCCUAUCAGGAGGACUCAUUCAACAGGAUUGAAAGCUUUCCACUACCAAGAGUCCAAACCAUUGAGUAGAGCACACCUUCAUGUACAAACAUCCAUGACAGCCUGGAGGGGCAAGUAGAGGUGCAAGCCUGUGAAGCUUUCCUGCCAUAGCAGAGCAACAACAUUGUACUCUUCUGCUGAAUUUCUUCCUGCAAGCCAGUUGUUAAAAGAACAGAAGCCCCAAAAGAUUAUACUGCUGUGCUGGUGUAUAACAACUGAAGAGCACAUAUUUAUGAGAUGGAAGAAAAAGGAUCCUUCAGGCAAGAAAGGAUGAGAAUAUUUCUGAGGAGAAGAGCAUAUUUUGGAAGCCACCUUUUUUUGUGGGAGUAUGGCAGUGGUGGGUUGCCCCCAGUUUGGACUGGUUCUCAAGAACCGGUAGUAAAACCGGUGGGAGGAUCUGCCCACUGCCCCGGAUGUCAUCAUCAGUGUUCUGCGCAUGCGCAGAAGCAAGGCACACAAUCCUGUU
Molecule: long non-coding RNA, 713 nt
Organism: Pantherophis guttatus
Lineage: Eukaryota; Metazoa; Chordata; Lepidosauria; Squamata; Colubridae
Source: RefSeq, a predicted model, not a curated record